UACAGAGGUCUCAAGCGUUGUUCGGAUUCAUUGGGCGUAAAGGGUGCGUAGGUGGCGCUGUAAGUCGGGUGUGAAAUUUCGGAGCUCAACUCCGAAACUGCAUUCGAUACUGCGGUGCUUGAGGACUGGAGAGGAGACUGGAAUUCAUGGUGUAGCAGUGAAAUGCGUAGAUAUCGAGAGGAACACCAGUGGCGAAGGCGAGUCCCUGGACAACACCUGACACUGAGGCACGAAAGCUAGGGGAGCAAACAGG
This 253-nucleotide ribosomal RNA is filed under the name uncultured bacterium. RNAcentral's name for it is "partial 16S ribosomal RNA". It matches the Rfam family "Bacterial small subunit ribosomal RNA", at positions 524 to 776 of the family's 1533-position model. The record is from RNAcentral.